GGGAACUCAAAGGAGACUGCCAGUGAUAAACUGGAGGAAGGUGGGGAUGACGUCAAGUCAUCAUGGCCCUUACGACCAGGGCUACACACGUGCUACAAUGGCGCAUACAAAGAGAAGCGACCUCGCGAGAGCAAGCGGACCUCAUAAAGUGCGUCGUAGUCCGGAUUGGAGUCUGCAACUCGACUCCAUGAAGUCGGAAUCGCUAGUAAUCGUGGAUCAGAAUGCCACGGUGAAUACGUUCCCGGGCCUUGUACACACCGCCCGUCACACCAUGGGAGUGGGUUGCAAAA
Molecule: ribosomal RNA, 290 nt
Filed under: Shigella sonnei
Lineage: Bacteria; Pseudomonadati; Pseudomonadota; Gammaproteobacteria; Enterobacterales; Enterobacteriaceae
Description: partial 16S ribosomal RNA
Rfam family: Bacterial small subunit ribosomal RNA
Source: RNAcentral